GCGCUUAAAUUUUGCUUUAAGAAGCCGCCGAGACGCGCCCUUCAUUUUGCGUUUCACGCCGCAGCCGCCUGUGUCAGCUGAACCUCUGCAUCGUACCGUAUAUGCUGUAGCAGCGAUUGUCGACCACAUCACCGACCCCGAAACAGCCAUGGGUUCCGGCGAUGGCUUCUGCUCUAUGGCGUGCUUCGAAGCUUUAAGUCGCGGCUGCACCACUUACGGCCUGGACUCCUGCAAUUGCGGUUACGAGGCUCUCUUUUGCUCCGGAAUUCUCGCACGGUCCAUUGGAGCUCUCGGAAUACGUAUGCAUGCGACGCGCGGCGGCCAUUGCAUCCCUUCUCACGCACGAGCUGUCACGCCUGACGCCAACGACGCCGUUGCUGCCAACAAGCCUGAAGACUCGCUUGUGGCGGUCUUUUCUUUUGUGCGUGUGUUCCUACGAACGAACUCUCUCUCCAUUUAACCGAGGGACAACGAGGCAACUGUUGUCGGUACGUGUUUCAACUACCUUGUGAGGGGCAGAUCGUGUAACCAAGUGACCGUGGCACUGCCCUGAGGGACAACGCAGCCACUGUCGCCGCAGCGUCGCUUCGGCAUCUAAUCGCCGAGGUGGGAGUGUUUAGCUUGCGAGGGCGGCACGGCCAUUAACUUCCUCAUCAAAACUGAUUGACAACAUUGGCAAAUUAUGUGCAGUUAACUGUAGUGCUUCAUUAGGCACGAGCUUCCUUGGACGGCCGCAGCCACAUCGGGUCGUCGCCGUGACGGAAGCGGAGAGGACGGGGUGGGGCGAUUCUAGCUGCAGGCUUAGCUAACACUAGGCAGGUAGCCGACACUGCGCAGGCCACAGCUGGCAGGAGUCCUCUCUCGUUUGCGACACGGCAAUCGGCCCGUUCCGGGUGCUAUCGCUUCCCGGCCACAAUUUCGCGUCCACGCGCGCGAAAGGGCGCGUAAUGUGGAAUCGCAGAAGUCGGUGGCAUCCGGAAUUUGUGUCAGGCUAACCAGUGGCGUAUUACUUCCAGUUCGUCUAGCUACGCUGAAGCACGGACGUUGCCUUCGGUCCGCAACGCGGCGCGUUGCGGCCAAAGUACGUGACCACUUUUUUUCUUUUCCAUUCCUUGUGCCACGCUGUUUCUGUCGCUCGACACGAGGACCAUGUUUGGCGAGUUCAUCUCCCACGGGUCGUGCGGUGACGCUUGUAAUGGUGAGUACCUACUUUCUGGUUAUAUUCCCAAUUUGAAAAGCUGUCAUUUUUUAAGUUUCAGGUACGCACCCUAGGCCUCCGCUUUCAGCGCACUCCAGCAACGUCCCUGCGUCCAGCAGUGUCCCGGACGGUUGACGUUCAGUGCCUGUCAUCUCUCGGCUGACCGCCUGUGUACUUCUCCUCCAGCCACACAGCUACUGGUUUCCUGGCCAAUGAACAAACCUGCACGACCCACCCUGCAGUACGUCGACUGCUAUUCCCCAGCCUUUGCCAUCAGUCACGUGCGACGGAUUUUCCUGCGCCCUGCCGUGUCCCAGACGGGUGACUUUCAUCGCCUGUCGUCCCGUGGCUGACGGUCUGUGCACUUCUCCUCCAGCCACACGGCUACUGGUGUCCUGGCCAACGAAGAAACCUGCACGACCCGCCGUGCAGUACGUCGACG
This 1640-nucleotide long non-coding RNA is filed under the name Dermacentor andersoni. Its description in RNAcentral is "uncharacterized LOC126537183". The record is from RNAcentral. Lineage: Eukaryota; Metazoa; Arthropoda; Arachnida; Ixodida; Ixodidae.